This 400-nucleotide ribosomal RNA is filed under the name uncultured bacterium. RNAcentral's name for it is "bacterial SSU rRNA". It matches the Rfam family "Bacterial small subunit ribosomal RNA", at positions 30 to 432 of the family's 1533-position model. The record is from RNAcentral.
AUUGAACGCUGGCGGCAUGCCUUACACAUGCAAGUCGAACGGCAGCACGGGAGCAAUCCUGGUGGCGAGUGGCGAACGGGUGAGUAAUAUAUCGGAACGUGCCCGGUCGUGGGGAUAACGUAGCGAAAGCUACGCUAAUACCGCAUACGAUCUACGGAUGAAAGCGGGGGAUCGCAAGACCUCGCGCGAUUGGAGCGGCCGAUAUCAGAUUAGGUAGUUGGUGAGGUAAAGGCUCACCAAGCCGACGAUCUGUAGCUGGUCUGAGAGGACGACCAGCCACACUGGGACUGAGACACGGCCCAGACUCCUACGGGAGGCAGCAGUGGGGAAUUUUGGACAAUGGGCGCAAGCCUGAUCCAGCAAUGCCGCGUGCAGGAUGAAGGCCUUCGGUUGGUAACUA